AACCCCUGGCAAUGGGCAGACAGCCACCUUAGUGGUGGUGUUCUUAUGUCAGUCAAAGGCAGAGCAGAUGGCAGUCCUUUGCUCAUCCUAGCUUGAUGCCUGACUUGGUGACCAAAGCUGUCUUAUGCCUAGGACUCAUAA
Molecule: small nucleolar RNA, 141 nt
Organism: Acomys russatus (golden spiny mouse)
Lineage: Eukaryota; Metazoa; Chordata; Mammalia; Rodentia; Muridae
Product: small nucleolar RNA SNORA48
Exons: 1
Source: RefSeq, a predicted model, not a curated record